AUCUGUUCCAUCACUCUCUCUUUCUCACCAUGGCUCUCAGUUCCCCUUCUGGGGGUGUACUGUUCAGUCACCGACUCUUUUAUCUGAGUAAUUUCUGAUUAGUAAUUAACAGGUUUUUCUGUCUCUCAGGUGGGGCGAACGUUCCCAGUGCCGGCUGAUGAUGUCAUCCUUCUGGUCAUCCCACCGCCGGUCAGGUUCUCCUACCCCUGCACAUGCUACAACUUCUAUUCACAUGUCAAAACUUUGUUCAGAAAAUUGGUGAUACAACAAUUCUUCACUUCCUUGCAGUAUCUACCAAUAAUGGACCAACUCCUGUUCUGAGCUGCUCAAAUCCAUGUGUCACUGGAAUCAAUGGAAGUUGUGCAUGAAACAUCUGAGGGCAGAAUGGAUCCUGCAUUCUUUGAAGAGCUUUGUUUUUUCCAGCACACUUUUCAGUGACCCUCAUCAGGCUUUUAGCUAGCACAAGAAAAUGUGGGCACUCAUCCCAGUAGUUACAGGGCUUUAAAGCAACCCAUUGUUUCAUACAACAAUAGUAGCUUUAAUUGAACUAAAGAUAUUUUUCUUUAAAAUCUUCUUAUCAUCUGCCUUUAUGUUCUCUAAUUACACCAUCAAAGCUUAAAAAGCCACAGGUUUCUUGUAGUCCACAUUUCUGCCAAGCAUUCAGGACCAGUUUGACACCUGGCUAUUGAUUUGUUUAAAUAUAAUGUCGAGGUAAGGUAAACGUAAUUCUGAAACUGACAGUGUUGUACUCAGUUUCAAAUUCAAAGAAUCCAAGAGCUACUGAAGACGAUUUAUCUUUUUUUAGCAGAACUUCAUCAGAGGAACAGGAACACCCUUAGCAUUCUGCACACACACCAAGCUGUGCUCCGAAAAUAUUUUACUUAUGAGUAAUUGGGGAAAUGAGUUUUUCCACUGUGCUAGAGUUUCUGUACAUUUUACUUAUAUGACUCAUCAGAUGACUCAACUCAGGGUGCAGAGCAUCUAGUACAGGCAUCCUUGAAUUUCCACUCAUUUUUAGUCAAGCAUGUGUCAUCACAGUACAUGUGUUUCAAGGUAAUUAAAUAUUUAUCCUACUUAUUUAUUCAA
Molecule: long non-coding RNA, 1086 nt
Organism: Alligator mississippiensis (American alligator)
Lineage: Eukaryota; Metazoa; Chordata; Crocodylia; Alligatoridae
Exons: 3
Source: RefSeq, a predicted model, not a curated record